This 205-nucleotide ribosomal RNA is filed under the name uncultured bacterium. Its description in RNAcentral is "partial 16S ribosomal RNA". It matches the Rfam family "Bacterial small subunit ribosomal RNA", at positions 328 to 538 of the family's 1533-position model. The record is from RNAcentral.
ACGCUCGACACCUACGGGGGCAGCAGUUGGGAAUAUUGGACAAUGGAGGAAACUCUGAUCCAGUGACGCCGCGUGAAGGAAGAAGGUCUUCGGAUUGUAAACUUAUUUUGUCAGGGAAGAAAAAAUGACUGUACCUGAAGAAAAAGCACCGGCUAACUACGUGCCAGCACGCCGGACGGUAAUCUGAGGCGGGCGUGGACAAGGC